Drosophila sechellia is the source of this 503-nucleotide long non-coding RNA. RefSeq lists it as uncharacterized. The record is from RefSeq and is a predicted model, not a curated record. Lineage: Eukaryota; Metazoa; Arthropoda; Insecta; Diptera; Drosophilidae. The transcript is spliced from 7 exons.
AGUUUGUAAUUAUAAUUGCAUUAAUAUUUGUUUUUGUUUUCAGGUACAUUUGUUGCAGCUUUUAUUGAGGCCGUCGCAGCUGAGAUCCCGUGGUUUUGAGUUCUUCACGUUUGAGAUUAAUCUGGAGUUUUCAGGUACGUUUGUAGCAGCUGAUAUUAAAGCCGUCGCAGCUGGUAUGCCAAGGUUUGCGAUUAAUCUAGAGGUACCAGUUUGCGAUUAGUCUGGAGUUUUCAGGUACGUUUGUAGCAGCUGAUAUUAAAGCCGUCGCAGCUGGUAUGCCAAGGUUUGCGAUUAAUCUAGAGGUACCAGUUUGCGAUUAGUCUGGAGUUUUCAGGUACGUUUGUAGCAGCUAAUAUUAAGGCCAUCGCUGCUGGGAUGCCGUGGCUUUGGAUUCCACAAGUUUGCGAUUAAUCUGGAGGUGCGUUGGGUGCAGCUAAUGUUAUAUCAGUCGAUUAUAGUUUGUAGCUUGUAUCUUAAUAAAUUAUUAAUUAAUUGUAAAUAAA